RNAcentral lists this long non-coding RNA (239 nucleotides) under Mytilus galloprovincialis (Mediterranean mussel). Lineage: Eukaryota; Metazoa; Mollusca; Bivalvia; Mytilida; Mytilidae. The record is from RNAcentral.
CUAAUAUAUAACAUGACAUGUGGCAAUGAGAUGUCUGCUUUUAGAAUUUUGGAAUUAUCUACUGUAACCAUGGUUGCAGCACAAAUGUUCAAAAUUUCCAAAAAAAAUUAAGUACUGCAAACUGGAUGAAACUUUACAGGAAUAGUGACUGGCAUGUGCGGAGUUGCAUUUUGAAGUUGGAAUUUCCAAAAUGGCCGCCGUAACCAUGGAAACGGCAAAAUUGUCCACAAUUUCAAAAU